This 515-nucleotide ribosomal RNA is filed under the name uncultured bacterium. Its description in RNAcentral is "partial 16S ribosomal RNA". It matches the Rfam family "Bacterial small subunit ribosomal RNA", at positions 28 to 523 of the family's 1533-position model. The record is from RNAcentral.
GAUGAACGCUGGCGGCGUGCCUAAUACAUGCAAGUCGAGCGAAUGGAUUGAGAGCUUGCUCUUAUGAAGUUAGCGGCGGACGGGUGAGUAACACGUGGGUAACCUGCCCAUAAGACUAGGAUAACUCCGGGAAACCGGGGCUAGUACCAGAUAACAUUUUGAACCGCAUGGUUAGAAAUUGAAAGGCUGCUUAGGCUGUCACAUAUGGAGUGACACGCGUCGCAUUAGCUCGUUGGUGAGGUAACGGCUCACCAAGGCAACGAUGCGUAGCCGACCUGAGAGGGUGAUCGGCCACACUGGGGCUGAGACACGGCCCAGACUCCUACGGGAGGCAGCAGUAGGGAAUCUUCCGCAAUGGACGAAAGUCUGACGGAGCAACGCCGCGUGAGUGAUGGAGGCUUUCGGGUCGUAAAACUCUGUUGUUAGGGAAGAACAAGUGCUAGUUGAAUAAGCUGGCACCUUGACGGUACCUAACCAGAAAGCCACGGCUAACUACGUGCCAGCCGCCGCAGUAA